RNAcentral lists this ribosomal RNA (779 nucleotides) under Kocuria flava. RNAcentral's name for it is "bacterial SSU rRNA". It matches the Rfam family "Bacterial small subunit ribosomal RNA". Lineage: Bacteria; Bacillati; Actinomycetota; Actinomycetes; Micrococcales; Micrococcaceae. The record is from RNAcentral.
ACGGGUGAGUAAUACGUGAGUAACCUGCCCUUGACUCUGGGAUAAGCCUGGGAAACCGGGUCUAAUACUGGAUACGACUCCUCAUCGCAUGGUGGGGUGUGGAAAGGGUUUUACUGGUUUUGGAUGGGCUCACGGCCUAUCAGCUUGUUGGUGGGUAAUGGCCUACCAAGGCGACGACGGGUAGCCGGCCUGAGAGGGUGACCGGCCACACUGGGACUGAGACACGGCCCAGACUCCUACGGGAGGCAGCAGUGGGGAAUAUUGCACAAUGGGCGCAAGCCUGAUGCAGCGACGCCGCGUGAGGGAUGACGGCCUUCGGGUUGUAAACCUCUUUCAGCAGGGAAGAAGCCACAAGUGACGGUACCUGCAGAAGAAGCGCCGGCUAACUACGUGCCAGCAGCCGCGGUAAUACGUAGGGCGCAAGCGUUGUCCGGAAUUAUUGGGCGUAAAGAGCUCGUAGGCGGUUUGUCGCGUUUGCUGUGAAAGCCCGGGGCUCAACCCCGGGUCUGCAGUGGGUACGGGCAGACUAGAGUGCAGUAGGGGAGACUGGAAUUCCUGGUGUAGCGGUGAAAUGCGCAGAUAUCAGGAGGAACACCGAUGGCGAAGGCAGGUCUCUGGGCUGUUACUGACGCUGAGGAGCGAAAGCAUGGGGAGCGAACAGGAUUAGAUACCCUGGUAGUCCAUGCCGUAAACGUUGGGCACUAGGUGUGGGGGACAUUCCACGUUCUCCGCGCCGUAGCUAACGCAUUAAGUGCCCCGCCUGGAGAUCGCCCACUGCC